RNAcentral lists this transfer RNA (86 nucleotides) under Ipomoea nil (Japanese morning glory). It matches the Rfam family "tRNA". From Rfam's summary of the family: Transfer RNA (tRNA) molecules are approximately 80 nucleotides in length. Their secondary structure includes four short double-helical elements and three loops (D, anti-codon, and T loops). Further hydrogen bonds mediate the characteristic L-shaped molecular structure. tRNAs have two regions of fundamental functional importance: the anti-codon, which is responsible for specific mRNA codon recognition, and the 3' end, to which the tRNAs corresponding amino acid is attached (by aminoacyl-tRNA synthetases). tRNAs cope with the degeneracy of the genetic code in two manners: having more than one tRNA (with a specific anti-codon) for a particular amino acid; and 'wobble' base-pairing, i.e. permitting non-standard base-pairing at the 3rd anti-codon position. Lineage: Eukaryota; Viridiplantae; Streptophyta; Magnoliopsida; Solanales; Convolvulaceae. The record is from Rfam by way of RNAcentral.
CCGACCUUAGCUCAGUUGGUAGAGCGGAGGACUGUAGUGUGGCUGCCGAAAUCCUUAGGUCGCUGGUUCGAAUCCGGCAGGUCGGA